UGGGGAAUCUUGCGCAAUGGGGGAAACCUUGACGCAGCAACGCCGCGUGGGUGAUGAAGGCCUUCGGGUCGUAAAGCCCUGUCAGGUGGGAAGAAACUUGUGGAUGUAAAUACCAUCCGCACUUGACGGUACCACCGGAGGAAGCACCGGCUAACUCCGUGCCAGCAGCCGCGGUAAUACGGAGGGUGCAAGCGUUGUUCGGAAUUAUUGGGCGUAAAGCGCGUGUAGGUGGUCAGGUAAGUCAGAUGUGAAAGCCUUCUGCUUAACAGAAGAAGUGCAUUUGAAACUGCUUGGCUAGAGUACGGGAGAGGAGAGUGGAAUUCCCGGUGUAGAGGUGAAAUUCGUAGAUAUCGGGAGGAACACCAGUGGCGAAGGCGGCUCUCUGGUCCGAUACUGACACUGAGACGCGAAAGCGUGGGGAGCAAACAGG
RNAcentral lists this ribosomal RNA (430 nucleotides) under uncultured bacterium. RNAcentral's name for it is "bacterial SSU rRNA". It matches the Rfam family "Bacterial small subunit ribosomal RNA", at positions 355 to 776 of the family's 1533-position model. The record is from RNAcentral.